GGAUAGGUGACCGAGUGGCUUAAGGUGCAGGCUUGCUAAGCCUUUGAAGUACAUGUUACUUCCGUGAGUUCGAAUCUCACCCUAUCCG
This 88-nucleotide transfer RNA is filed under the name Sphingobacteriaceae bacterium. RNAcentral's name for it is "tRNA-Ser". It matches the Rfam family "tRNA". From Rfam's summary of the family: Transfer RNA (tRNA) molecules are approximately 80 nucleotides in length. Their secondary structure includes four short double-helical elements and three loops (D, anti-codon, and T loops). Lineage: Bacteria; Pseudomonadati; Bacteroidota; Sphingobacteriia; Sphingobacteriales; Sphingobacteriaceae. The record is from RNAcentral.